This 57-nucleotide transfer RNA is filed under the name Sacculina confragosa. RNAcentral describes it as "tRNA-Gly". The record is from RNAcentral. Lineage: Eukaryota; Metazoa; Arthropoda; Thecostraca; Sacculinidae.
CCUAAUUAGUAUAAUAUAUUACAAUCAACUUCCAAUUGAAAAAUCAAAUGAUUAGGA